Molecule: ribosomal RNA, 1362 nt
Filed under: metagenome
Description: bacterial SSU rRNA
Rfam family: Bacterial small subunit ribosomal RNA
Source: RNAcentral
UGAGUAUCGCGUGGGUGACCCGCCCCGAAGCGAGGGAUAACAGUUCGAAAGGACUGCUAAUACCGCAUGUGUUCACGGGAGUUAGAGAGCCGUGAAAAAAGGAGAAAUCCACUUUGGGAGGGACCUGCGACCCAUCAGCUAGUUGGUAAGGUAACGGCCUACCAAGGCGACGACGGGUAGGGGGCCUGAGAGGGUGGCCCCCCACACUGGCACUGAAACACGGGCCAGACACCUACGGGUGGCAGCAGUAGGGAAUAUUGCACAAUGGGCGCAAGCCUGAUGCAGCAACGCCGCGUGCGCGAUGAAGGCCUUCGGGUCGUAAAGCGCUUUUCUGGAGGAGGAGGAAGGACCGUACUCCAGGAAUAAGUCUCGGCUAACUACGUGCCAGCAGCCGCGGUAAAACGUAGGAGACAAGCGUUAUCCGAAUUUACUGGGCGUAAAGCGCGUGCAGGUGGUUGGGUAAGUUGAAUGUGAAAUCUCCUGGCUCAACUAGGAGAGGCUGUUCAAGACUGCCUGACUAGAGGACGGUAGAGGGAGGUGGAAUUCCCGGUGUAGUGGUGAAAUGCGUAGAUAUCGGGAGGAACACCUGUGGCGAAAGCGGCCUCCUGGACCGUACCUGACGCUCAGACGCGAAAGCUAGGGGAGUGAACGGGAUUAGAAACCCCGGUAAUCCUAGCCGUAAACGAUGUGGACUGGGUGUCGGUGGGGCAAAAGCCAUCGGUGCCGAAGCCAACGCGAUAAGUCCACCGCCUGGGGACUACGGCCGCAAGGUUAAAACUCAAAGGAAUUGACGGGGGCCCGCACAAGCAGCGGAGCGUGUGGUUUAAUUCGAUGCUACACGAAGAACCUUACCCGGGUUUGACAUACAGGUAGUAGGGAAGCGAGAGCAGACCGACCCUUCGGGGAGCCUGUACAGGUGCUGCAUGGCUGUCGUCAGCUCGUGUCGUGAGAUGUCCGGUUAAGUCCGGUAACGAGCGCAACCCUCGCCGUAUGUUAGGUAUGUCAUACGGGACUGCCGGUAUCAAGCCGGAGGAAGGUGGGGAUGACGUCAAGUCAGCAUGGCCUUUAGGUCCGGGGCUACACACACGCUACAAUGGCCGGUACAAUGGGUCGCAAAGCCGCGAGGUAGAGCCAAUCCCCAAAGCCGGUCUCAGUUCAGAUUGCAGGCUGCAACCCGCCUGCAUGAAGCCGGAGUUACUAGUAACCGCGCGUCAGCAUUAGUGCGGUGAAUACGUUCCCGGGCCUUGUACGCACCGCCCGUCACGUCAUGGGAGCUGGUAACACCUGAAGCCGGUAGCCGAACCGCAAGGAAGGCGCUGUCGAAGGUGGGACUGGUGACUGGGACGAAGUCGUAACAAGGUA